AUUGAACGCUGGCGGAAUGCUUUACACAUGCAAGUCGAACGGCAGCACGGACUUCGGUCUGGUGGCGAGUGGCGAACGGGUGAGUAAUGUAUCGGAACGUGCCCAGUCGUGGGGGAAAACGUAGUGAAAAUUACGCUAAUACCGCAUACGAUCUAUGGAUGAAAGCGGGGGAUCGCAAGACCUCGCGCGAUUGGAGCGGCCGAUAUCAGAUUAGGUAGUUGGUGGGGUAAAGGCCCACCAAGCCAACGAUCUGUAGCUGGUCUGAGAGGACGACCAGCCACACUGGAACUGAGACACGGUCCAGACUCCUACGGGAGGCAGCAGUGGGGAAUUUUGGACAAUGGGCGCAGGCCUGAUCCAGCCAUUCCGCGUGCAGGAUGAAGGCCCUCGGGUUGUAAACUGCUUUUGUACAGAACGAAAAGGUUUCUACUAAUACUAGGAGCUCAUGACGGUACUGUAAGAAUAAGCACCGGCUAACUACGUGCCAGCAGCCGCCGUAA
RNAcentral lists this ribosomal RNA (500 nucleotides) under uncultured bacterium. RNAcentral describes it as "partial 16S ribosomal RNA". It matches the Rfam family "Bacterial small subunit ribosomal RNA", at positions 30 to 523 of the family's 1533-position model. The record is from RNAcentral.